GCCUAGAGGAGAAAGGGUCAAAAUAGAGAAGGAAAACUCUCAUUCAAGCAUGGAAUCCGACUCACAAAGCUCCAAUUUUCUACCUAUGCAGAGUAAUAAUCAUGCAACAAGUAAUGGUAUGAAAGGUGGAAGCUCAGUGAAUAAUGAUGGACAAUUCAGUGAUGAAGUUCUCACCAGAGAAAGACCAUUCAGCGAGGAACUUCAGACUGCUCUAGACAGAAGAAAUGAUAAGGAGUGUGAAACUCAAGAAGAUCUAGGCGUUGAAUCCGCCUGGGAGGUUAAAGAAGAGAGGAGUGGGUAUCAGGGGUUGUCCACAGAUCAUGAUCCUCUGCUGGAGUCUAUCUUCACCCUUCAAGCUGCUCAGGAAAAUCUUGAAAGAGAAAUUCGGAAAUGGAAAGAAAUUAGAAUAGAAGAUGAUGUCAUUGACCAUUCUGUUCGGGAUGUUGGUAUUAUUUCAGACUUCAGUUCAGGUGACACAGAUUUUCCUGGACCAAACACAUCUGAACAGUCACAACCCAGUAACGGUGUGCAACAUUCAUUUAACUCGUUGGAGUCUGAAGUAGUCAGCUUAAAGCAGAAUGUUAUACUAUUGCAACACAAGCUUAAUGAUGAAGCAAACUUGAUUAAGUUAAAGGAAGCCAGAGUUGCUGAACUGGAAGCCAUCUUAAGUAGUAACACGGAGAAGGAAGAAAAGAGAACAGGAAAUGACUUGCACCAGAGUAGUGGGGACAUUGAAAAAGAGCUUGAGGGCCUCUUUAGGCAGAAGAUUGAAGCUGAACUUGAGUAUUUAGUAAUAUCAAGAACCAUCCAAAAGUGGAGAGCUGCAGCAGUUGAUCAAGUUACUCUCAUGGAAGAACAAAAAAUAUUAGCUACCGAACAAGCACAGAUGGUAAAGAAGCUCGGAGAUUCAGAAACAAAGGUUGCAAUGCACAAGUUACAGGUUGAAAUCUUGGACAAUUACUGUGAUAAUGUAGCCAGCACUAAUAAAACACUGGAGCUGCGGAAGGGAGUCUGCAAGUAUAGUUCCUAUUUUUUGAUACAAUUUGUAUUGUUGGUUAUCGUCUUUGGACUGUAUAUGUUGCAGAUGUCAUCUGAUGCUGUUGAAGUUGUGCCAACAUAAUUUUGAGAUGUGAGCCUUUUUUCCCUUUCUCUUGUAUUUUCAACAUAGAGCAACGACCAAUGUUAAUUUAGUCGUUUUAUGUGUUCAUAGAUAGAUGGAACACCUACUUUCUUUUUUGUCAAGUCGAUAUUGAAUUCAAU
Molecule: unclassified non-coding RNA, 1260 nt
Filed under: Hevea brasiliensis (rubber tree)
Lineage: Eukaryota; Viridiplantae; Streptophyta; Magnoliopsida; Malpighiales; Euphorbiaceae
Source: RNAcentral